AGUUUGAUCCUGGCUCAGGACGAACGCUGGCGGCGUGCUUAACACAUGCAAGUCGAACGAGACGAUUGAAAGCUUGCUUUUGAAAGUCGAGUGGCAAACGGGUGAGUAACGCGUAGACAACCUGCCGUAAAGAUGGGGACAACAGUCCGAAAGGACUGCUAAUACCGAAUGUUGUGGAACUUCCGCAUGGGAGCUCCACUAAAGAUGGCCUCUACUUGUAAGCUAUCGCUUUACGAUGGGUCUGCGUCUGAUUAGCUAGUUGGUGGGGUAACGGCUUACCAAGGCGACGAUCAGUAGCCGGUCUGAGAGGAUGAACGGCCACAUUGGAACUGAGACACGGUCCAGACUCCUACGGGAGGCAGCAGUGGGGAAUCUUCCGCAAUGGGCGCAAGCCUGACGGAGCAACGCCGCGUGAGUGAAGAAGGGUUUCGACUCGUAAAGCUCUGUUGUCGGGGACGAAUGUCAGGACUCAAAAUAUGGGUUCUGAAUGACGGUACCUGACGAGGAAGCCACGGCUAACUACGUGCCAGCAGCCGCGGUAAUACGUAGGUGGCGAGCGUUGUCCGGAAUUAUUGGGCGUAAAGGGAGCGCAGGCGGGAGGUCAAGUCUAUCUUAAAAGUGCGGGGCUCAACCCCGUGAGGGGAUGGAAACUGGUCUUCUUGAGUGCAGGAGAGGAAAGCGGAAUUCCUAGUGUAGCGGUGAAAUGCGUAGAUAUUAGGAGGAACACCAGUGGCGAAGGCGGCUUUCUGGACUGUAACUGACGCUGAGGCUCGAAAGCGUGGGGAGCGAACAGGAUUAGAUACCCUGGUAGUCCACGCCGUAAACGAUGAAUGCUAGGUGUAGGAGGUAUCGACCCCUCCUGUGCCGGAGUUAACGCAAUAAGCAUUCCGCCUGGGGAGUACGGCCGCAAGGCUGAAACUCAAAGGAAUUGACGGGGGCCCGCACAAGCGGUGGAGCACGUGGUUUAAUUCGAUGCAAACCGAAGAACCUUACCUAGGUUUGACAUGUACGUGGUACGGAUCUGAAAGGUGAAGGACUGUACCUUCGGGUACAGAGCGUACACAGGUGCUGCAUGGCUGUCGUCAGCUCGUGUCGUGAGAUGUUGGGUUAAGUCCCGCGACGAGCGCAACCCCUGCAUCCAGUUACCAGCGAGUAGAGUCGGGGACUCUGGAUGGACUGCCAGCGACAAGCUGGAGGAAGGUGGGGACGACGUCAAGUCAUCAUGGCCCUUAUGCCUAGGGCGACACACGUGCUACAAUGGCCGAUACAGCGGGAAGCAAGCCUGCGAAGGCAAGCAGAUCCCACAAAGUCGGUCUCAGUUCGGAUUGUAGUCUGCAACUCGACUACAUGAAGGAGGAAUCGCUAGUAAUCGCGGAUCAGCCAAGCCGCGGUGAAUCCGUUCCCGGGCCUUGUACACACCGCCCGUCACACCACCCGAGUUGGGUGCACCCGAAGCUGGAGGCUUAACCAGCAAUGGAAGGAUCCGUCGAAGGUGUGUCUGGUGAGGGGGGUGAAGUCGUAACAAGGUAACCGUA
RNAcentral lists this ribosomal RNA (1535 nucleotides) under uncultured bacterium. RNAcentral describes it as "partial 16S ribosomal RNA". It matches the Rfam family "Bacterial small subunit ribosomal RNA". The record is from RNAcentral.